UGCACUCACUAUUGUAAGUCGCUCUGGAUAAGAGCAUUAGCUAAAUGACUAAAA
Non-coding RNA from Salmo salar (Atlantic salmon), 54 nucleotides. Lineage: Eukaryota; Metazoa; Chordata; Actinopteri; Salmoniformes; Salmonidae. The record is from Rfam.